Long non-coding RNA from Oncorhynchus keta (chum salmon), 3121 nucleotides. RefSeq lists it as uncharacterized. The record is from RefSeq and is a predicted model, not a curated record. The transcript is spliced from 2 exons. NCBI's taxonomy places the organism in Eukaryota, Metazoa, Chordata, Actinopteri, Salmoniformes, Salmonidae.
CGACGCAGAGAGAGGCACCGAAUGAAACCUAUUCUGAACAGAUGUUAGUAUUUUACAAAAGUCACGUGAAAUGAACAGAUGUUGUUGUAGAACAGGGACUCGCCUUGGUUCGAGAGCAUUCCUCGACAGAAAGGCUUCGAAAUAAGAUCGGAGAGAAGCAUUAGCGUUCUAUCCACAACAAAAAACGACUCAGCACAUCGUGUGGGUGAUAAUAGAUUACCACGGGCCUCACCUGCGAUGGAACCUCGGCCUACGUCCCAUAGGAAAUCUAUCAAACUAAAAUGGACGGUUCCAACCGCGCAGGAAUUUGCUGGAGAUGGGCAGGGGCGUUUGUGAAGCAGGUCGUCAACAGGCUGACUCAUCACAUAUGGCCCCAGAACCGUGUUCCUCUGCCAAGAUGACACUGCACAGGAUAUAGUCCACAUCAUCAGCCACCUGGUCAGGUGACCCUGAUAACAACAACAACAACAACAACAACAACAACAACAACAACAACAAGGAACAAACAAAAGUUGAUUGGAUGGUGUAAGAGAUGAUUCUGACUGCAAGUUUCCAUUGUGGUCCGACUGAAUCUACCAAUGGAUAUCCUGGUGUAUCUGCCUGGUGUAUCUGCUUCUGGACUGAACAGGGCUGGAGAGGACCACAGUUCCUCUCAACAAAUAGGCCCACAUCAAUGAACUUCUCCAGAUGAGACCGUGUGGAAUACUGAUGUGAUACUCAUACAUGCAAAAUGCUACUACAGGAUAGAAUAGCAUGGAGAACUUUAUGACACAAACAACAGUCAUACUGAAGCUAACAUGGACACGUUUGCAAUGAUGCAAUAUUUAGGAAUUGAUACCCACACAAUAGUGGGUGGAUGAUCACUCGUUACAAUAGGGAAAUAGUGGGUGGAUGAUCACUCGUUACAAUAGGGAAAUAGUGGGUGGAUGAUCACUUGUUACAAUAGGGAAAUAGUGGGUGGAUGAUCACUCGUUACAAUAGGGAAAUAGUGGGUGGAUGAUCACUCGUUACAAUAGGGAAAUAGUGGGUGGAUGAUCACUCGUUACAAUUAGGAAAUAGUGGGUGGAUGAUCACUCGUUACAAUAGGGAAAUAGUGGGUGGAUGAUCACUCGUUACAAUAGGGAAAUAGUGGGUGGAUGAUCACUCGUUACAAUAGGGAAAUAGUGGGUGGAUGAUCACUCGUUACAAUAGGGAAAUAGUGGGUGGAUGAUCACUCGUUACAAUAGGGAAAUAGUGGGUGGAUGAUCACUCGUUACAAUAGGGAAAUAGUGGGUGGAUGAUCACUCGUUACAAUAGGGAAAUAGUGGGUGGAUGAUCACUCGUUACAAUAGGGAAAUAGUGGGUGGAUGAUCACUCGUUACAAUAGGGAAAUUGCACACACUUUGUUUUUGGGAUUAUAUUUAUAGAUGUUGUGUUUUACAAGUAUUUUUUGGAUUAUGUUAUAGCUUAUAAAUACCCAUUUUUGCUUUUCUUGUAUUUAUUUAGAGAACAUGUAUGUUGGCACAUUUUAUCGCGGAUAUUAAUAUUUGGUGCUUGAUGAGAAGUUAUCUUCAAAAGUUUUGUAACAAGAUUUGGUUUUACGACAUUAAAGACAUGGAAGGCUGUUUUAACUACUGAACUAUGUACGAUGACCCGACUGUAUCUAACUGUAUCAUCUAUAUUAGAUUGAAAUGUUUGUGAAACUAAUCCAGGGGGUCACAGAGGUUGAGAGUUGAAAGUGUUAAGUCUCGUUAAACAACCCAAAACCUCUUAGACAUAAUACCACAGUGUCAUGUGUCUGUACCCUGAUCCCUGCAGGAAACCCAUCUGCCUCUCAAAUGGCACCCUAUUCCCUAUAUAGUGCACUACAUGCAUAUUCCUAUGUAGUGGCCCAUAGGGUUCUGGUCAAAAUAGUGCACUAUAUAGGGAAUAGGGUGCCAUUUAGGACGCUGACCCAUUCCGAGGACCCUGGUAUCUCCCUGCUUUAACGAUGCAGGACGACGUAAAGCUUGACUUAUCUCCCUCCCCAAUCACUGUGUCACCAGGGUGCUGGCUCCGUCCUGCUGGAGGGAACAGCCUUGCUGUUUGUGACCUGUGUGAUAAAUCAAGUUCAAAGCAGAGGGUUGCACGCUGACAGCAAGUUUUAAGUUCCUCGGCAUACACAUCACAGACAAACUGAAUUGGUCCACUCACACUGACAGCGUCGUGAAGAAGGCGCAGCAGCGCCUCUUCAACCUCAGGAGGCUGAAGAAAUUCGGCUUGUCACCAAAAGCACUCACAAACUUCUACAGAUGCACAAUCGAGAGCAUCCUGGCGGGCUGUAUCACCGCCUGGUACGGCAACUGCUCCGCCCUCAACCGUAAGGCUCUCCAGAGGGUAGUGAGGUCUGCACAACGCAUCACCGGGGGCAAACUACCUGCCCUCCAGGACACCUACACCACCCGAUGUUACAGGAAGGCCAUAAAGAUCAUCAAGGACAUCAACCACCCGAGCCACUGCCUGUUCACCCCGCUAUCAUCCAGAAAGCAAGGUCAGUACAGGUGCAUCAAAGCUGGGACCGAGAGACUGAAAAACAGCUUCUAUCUCAAGGCCAUCAGACUGUUAAACAGCCACCACUAACAUUGAGUGGCUGCUGCCAACACACUGUCAUUGACACUGACCCAACUCCAGCCACUUUAAUAAUGGGAAUUGAUGGGAAAUGAUGUAAAUAUAUCACUAGCCACUUUAAACAAUGCUACCUUAUAUAAUGUUACUUACCCUACAUUAUUCAUCUCAUAUGCAUACGUAUAUACUGUACUCUACAUCAUCGACUGCAUCCUAAUGUAAUACAUGUAUCACUAGCCACUUUAACUAUGCCACUUUGUUUACUUUGUCUACAUACUCAUCUCAUAUGUAUAUACUGUACUCGAUACCAUCUACUGUAUGCUGCUCUGUACCAUCACUCAUUCAUAUAUCCUUAUGUACAUAUUCUUUAUCCCCUUACACUGUGUAUAAGACAGUAGUUUUGGAAUUGUUAGUUAGAUUACUUGUUGGUUAUCACUGCAUUGUCGGAACUAGAAGCACAAACAUUUCGCUACACUCGCAUUAACAUCUGCUAACCAUGUGUAUGUGACAAAUAAAAUUUGAUUUGAUUUUUGACAGA